Molecule: long non-coding RNA, 1761 nt
Filed under: Daucus carota (carrot)
Lineage: Eukaryota; Viridiplantae; Streptophyta; Magnoliopsida; Apiales; Apiaceae
Description: long non-coding RNA (DCAR_LNC006500)
Source: RNAcentral
AACAAACCAGUCUUCCCUUCCUCACAAGCCCACCUCACAUUUUCACACUUCAACUCUUCCCCAUUCAAAAGCUCUCAUCUUUUUCAAUUCUUGCACCUCUUCUUGAUGCAAAAAUGGUGAAACCCAGCUCACAAUUGUGUUCUUUUCUCAUCAUGGUCACCUUGUUUUACACCAUCAAAGUUGAUUCCAAGAAGUGCCAUGGUGAAUGCACUGCUUUAGCUUCAUACUACUUAUGGGGUGGAGCAAAUCUAACUCUCCUAACCGAGGCCUUCAACACAAAUUAUAGUAACAUCAUGGGUUAUAAUCCGCAGAUAUAUAAUUUUAACAAGAUUUAUAAAGGCCAGAGAGUGAAUGUUCCAUUUCAAUGUGGGUGUUUAAGGGGUUCAGAUUCUGAGUUUCUUGGUCAUCAGCAAUAAUUAUGUUUAGAUGUGAUUUUUUUAACACCUUAAAAUACGUGUAAAAAAAGUCAAAAGCAGUUAAAAUGGGACGGAGGGAGUACUAGUUAAGUACAGUAGAAACUCCAUUUCACAUAAUUAUAAUUAGUGAUUUUAUGUCAUUUCGGCUGGCAUGAUUAAAAUUAUUUUAUAUAAUUUUUGUUAUAUAACAAUAUAACUGAAUUAAAACAUUAUAGAGAGUUUUUUUUUUUUUUUGAGGAAAACAUUAUAGAGAGUUGAAUACAAUCUCUUGAUUUUUAUGAAAAGGUUCAUAUGUCGCACAACAUAUUAAAAUAAUAAAAUUAAGAAAAAUGGACUAAAAUAUCAUUUAUUUAUGUCGGAUAAUCUAAGCGUGUCUAAUUUUUUUAUUGGACAGCUUUAAUCAAUAUCCAAAAAACUACGCGAUACAUCGCGUCAUCGCCUAUAUAUUUCUUACUCCCUCCGUCCCGGUCAUUUCUAUACAGUUUUUUUUGGGAUGUCCCAUCAUUUCUAUACAUUCCUAAAAUAGCAACUUUUAAUAAUGUAAAACACUAUUACAUCAACUACUUCCUUCCACUAUCUUCAUUUUAUAAUAAUAUAAACACUAUUACACCCACUACUUUUGUCCACUAUCACAAAUCUAUAAUUAAAUACAAAUGGAUCCCGCCACUUUACCCACUUUUCAUCUAACUUUAUUAUUUUUUACACUUUUUCUUGGUCUCCGUGUGCACGACAAAUGUAUAUAACCUUUUGAGGCGGAGGGAGUAUCAUUUUUGAUAUAAUAUUAAUAACUGAUAUUUCUGAUAUUUUUCGGACUGUGAUAAUCAGAAUAUUAAUAAUCGCCCAUUGACGACAAAAGUCCACGACACAAAAAGUCUUGAGUUUCACAUUCACAACUUCUAGUUCUAGACCCAUCACAUUUCCACACUACUGCCAAAGACUAACAAACCAGUCUUCCCUUCCUCACAAGCCCACCUCACAUUUUCACACUUCAACUCUUCCCCAUUCAAAAGCUCUCAUCUUUUUCAAUUCUUGCACCUCUUCUUGAUGCAAAAAUGGUGAAACCCAGCUCACAAUUGUGUUCUUUUCUCAUCAUGGUCACCUUGUUUUACACCAUCAAAGUUGAUUCCAAGAAGUGCCAUGGUGAAUGCACUGCUUUAGCUUCAUACUACUUAUGGGGUGGAGCAAAUCUAACUCUCCUAACCGAGGCCUUCAACACAAAUUAUAGUAACAUCAUGGGUUAUAAUCCGCAGAUAUAUAAUUUUAACAAGAUUUAUAAAGGCCAGAGAGUGAAUGUUCCAUUUCAAUGUGGGUGUUUAAGGGGUUCAGAUUCUGAGUUUCUUGGUCA